RNAcentral lists this transfer RNA (86 nucleotides) under Candidatus Heimdallarchaeota archaeon. RNAcentral's name for it is "tRNA-Leu". It matches the Rfam family "tRNA". Rfam says of the family: Transfer RNA (tRNA) molecules are approximately 80 nucleotides in length. Their secondary structure includes four short double-helical elements and three loops (D, anti-codon, and T loops). Further hydrogen bonds mediate the characteristic L-shaped molecular structure. tRNAs have two regions of fundamental functional importance: the anti-codon, which is responsible for specific mRNA codon recognition, and the 3' end, to which the tRNAs corresponding amino acid is attached (by aminoacyl-tRNA synthetases). tRNAs cope with the degeneracy of the genetic code in two manners: having more than one tRNA (with a specific anti-codon) for a particular amino acid; and 'wobble' base-pairing, i.e. permitting non-standard base-pairing at the 3rd anti-codon position. Lineage: Archaea; Promethearchaeati; Candidatus Heimdallarchaeota. RNAcentral also lists the same sequence under 1 other name. The record is from RNAcentral.
GCGAGGGUAGCCAAGUGGUCAACGGCGAAGGACUCAAGAUCCUUUCCUGUAGAGGUUCGUGCGUUCGAAUCGCGCCCCUCGCACCA